AAAGCAGGGGAUCGCAAGACCUUGCGCUGAUUGAGCGGCCGAUAUCAGAUUAGCUAGUUGGUGAGGUAAAGGCUCACCAAGGCGACGAUCUGUAGCGGGUCUGAGAGGAUGAUCCGGCCACACUGGAACUGAGACACGGUCCAGACUCCUACGGGAGGCAGCAGUGGGGAAUUUUGGGACAAUGGGCGCAAGCCUGAUCCCAGCCAUGCCGCGUGAGUGAAGAAGGCCUUCGGGUUGUAAAGCUCUUUCGGCCGGGAAGAAAUCGCACGGGUUAAUACCCUGUGUGGAUGACGGUACCGGAAUAAGAAGCACCGGCUAACUACGUG
RNAcentral lists this ribosomal RNA (326 nucleotides) under uncultured bacterium. Its description in RNAcentral is "bacterial SSU rRNA". It matches the Rfam family "Bacterial small subunit ribosomal RNA", at positions 202 to 507 of the family's 1533-position model. The record is from RNAcentral.